This 6977-nucleotide long non-coding RNA is filed under the name Musa acuminata (dwarf banana). RNAcentral describes it as "long non-coding RNA (MACU_LNC004933)". The record is from RNAcentral. Lineage: Eukaryota; Viridiplantae; Streptophyta; Magnoliopsida; Zingiberales; Musaceae.
UCGAAUUUUUAAAUUUUGGAGGAUGGCCUUUUGAGUUUCGGGAUAGAGUAUGUCUUCUAAAUGACCCAAUUAUCAAUAACUACAUCCUGAAGCUAGGUAAUACUUCAAAGUAUGUGAUAAUUUGGAUUAUAUUGUUGAUUACAUUUUAAUUUUAUGGAUUUCAAGACAAGGUCACACCUUUUGUAUGUGAUAAUUUGGCGGGAGUGACAAAGGUGGUAUCGGAGCAUGAUUUAAGGAUUAUUAAGAUAUUUGAUUCAUUUGAUGUGCAUAAUUAUAUUGAGGUUUAGUAAAUUAUAUAGAGAUCGAUGAAAAUUUUAUUUGAUGUCUUCUAGGUAUCUAGGAUGACAUCGACAUUUGGUCUUCUUGCUUCGUCUUCUCGUGGGUCCUAUUGUCACCUCCAUGCUCUCGUUGCGUGUCCUCGUGUAAUUACAUCGUAAUCACAUUCAUGCAAACCCUAAUAAUAAAAAUAUCAUCAAUGAUAUUAUGAUUAUUAGAUGAAAAUUACGAUUUGAUUGUUAUAAAAAACGUGCAGGACUCGGUGAUAUUGAUGGUCUCUAUCUAUGUGCAAUCUGAUCUCAUUCACAAAUUUAAGAAGGAUAACUAUGUGAUCCACAUUUAAUCUGCUUGAGGAAUGAAUUAGAAAAAUGAUUGAAGUCGAGUUUUCACAUUUUAGAGGAUGGCCUUUGGAGUUUUGAGAUAGAGUAUGUGUUCUAAAUGACCCAAUUAUCAAUAUCCAAAUCCUGAAGCAAGGUCAUAAUUCAAAAUACAUCAUGCAUUCUAGUAGCACUAAGAUGUAUAGGGUUCUCCAAAGUCAUUAUUAGUGAGAAGGUUUGAAGAAGGUGAUUGUGAUGUAUGUUUCAAAGUGUUUUUGACUUGUCGGCAAAUCAAAGCAGAAACUUGCUACAACCGACGUAAGCUUGAUAAGAGAAGAGAAGAGGAAUUGAAGUAGAAGAAGUUUUGCUUUGGCUGAAUGUUUCGGAUCAACUCCUCAUAUUUGUGAUUCAAAUGUUUAUGAGGCUAGUGUUAAAUGUUUUUGUUGUAUAAGUACACUUUGUGCCUAAUUAAAUGUCGAUGGUAAAUAUGAACUUAUGUGUUUUAUGGAGGUUUUAAAAGACUUCUUAUGUUUAGGAUUUUGGAAUGAUAAGUUUAAUUCGUAUAAUGAUACGACCUCGUGAUCAAUGUUAGUUUUGUGAUUGUAUAAAUUCCCACACUUAUGGAUUUUAUGAUGUGGUUUCGUAUAGAUGAGUUGGCUUUGGAUUUUAUGAGUCUUUGAGUGUUGUGUCGUAUGAUUAUAACUACAAAGUCUUAUGAAUUGUGGAUUAUGGGUGUGAAUUAUGACUUCGAAUGAUUUUUCCAUAGAAUAUAUGGUUAGCAUUUAUCUCAUUGUUUCAUUAUUUAUUAUUGUUAAUGUGGUCUGUGUCAAUUAUUUAAAUCUCAAUUAUUUUUCUAUUUUAGUAAUAUUUAUUCGGGCCCAAGCAGAGCUCGGCUCAGACACCGGUCUAAUUCAAUUACAAUUGGGUCAAACCUGGGUCGAGUUAGUUUGGAUCUCUAGUUUGAACCAAAUAAUAAUCGUGACACCACAAAACCCCGCCCCUUACCGACCUCACAACAAGCGCUCGAGCGCAUCCGUGCCCUAAACACAGCGACUCUCUCCCGAGCGGCGACUCUCUUUCUCCCCAACGGAACUGCGGCGUUUCCUCGGCGAGUGGUUGUCUUCCUCUCCAUCGGCGAACAGCGGAAGCAACAGCGGUGUCUUCCUCCGGGGAGUUCUUGGCUGCGGUGUUUUCCUCGGUAGAUUUUGUUUUGUGUGUGGAUUAGUAGACAAUAUUCAAUAGUAGCCAAAUCGAAUUCCUAGGUUCUUUCGAUGAUUCCUUUCACCCUCCGAAGAUUCUAUGUCCUAUCUCGGAUCCUCUCUCCACCACCUCAUCUUCAAUCUAGGUUAUUUUGGAUCCUCCAAGUAGCUCUUGGCGUUGCGACAUUUUCCUUAGUGAAACGACAAACGACGACAUCCGUUCCCCAAUCCUCCUCCCUCCUACCUCUUCCACCUUUUGUCGUAGCUCCUCUCUUGGUUUAGGGUAUGGAUCAAGAUGUAUGCCGAUAAGGUCAUCACCAGAAGGAAGAGGCCCAUCAAGGAGCACCUCAAAGAUGGCAUGAUAAGGGCCAUUUUGGGCCAUGUUGUCGAACGCCAAAAGGCUCAGCAGGGGACCCUAUCGGACCUUUCUUGUUAUCGCCAAGAAUGGAAGACCGAAAUCAGAUUCUUUUUAUGGAAAAAACUUCUCUUGAUCCCCCUAGAUUUUAUCCUUAACCACCCUUGUAUAUAAGAUUUUGAGUGUUUUUAAUGUUUAUAUCUAGGCUUAGGGUUUUUUCUUUGGUUUUUUGUUCUGAUUUUGAUUUUGAUUUUUUUUUUUGUAGGCAUCAAGUGCCAGGCAAAUCAGGUGUGGGUGAUGAUUUAGGUGUACACUGUCUUGCAGUAAGCAUCACGUCUUGAACUUGAGUGAUUUUAUUUGUUCUUUGUUUUCUUCUUUUUUACAACUAUAUUGUAUGGCUUUCUCUUUCAUGAGAAAUUGGGUAACAACAAAUUAAUGGGACUUUUCAGAGUUUGAUGUAAAUGGAUCUUGAAAUUUUUUACUAUGUUCCAUAUGAUAAUAUUAAUUACUCAUUUGGUUGCAUUCACUUGUUCACAAACAUUGGUUUAGCAACAGUUCAUUCUAUAACAUGACUAGCACUAAUUUUGAGGUCAUUUUAUGUUCCACUCAUCGUCAUAUAGUGGUGUAAUGCUGGAAUACUACCUGAAGGGUUCUAAAUUCUAACAAAAUGAUGUACACAUAUCUGUUGUCUUAAAUGCGAAGAAAAUAUGUGUUUGUCAAUUUGUUGUAAUAUCAUUCUAUUUUCUAAUUAUCUAUUUUCUAAUUUGUUGUAAUAUGGGACUUUUCAGAGUUUGAUGUAAAUGGAUCUUGAAAUUUUUGACUAUGUUCCAUAUGAUAAUAUUAAUUACUCAUUUGGUUGCAUUCACUUGUUCACAAACAUUUGUUUAGCAACAGUUCAUUCUAUAACAUGACUAGCACUAAUUUUGAGGUCAUUUUAUGUUCCACUCAUCGUCAUAUAGUGGCGUAAUGCUGGAAUACUACCUGAAGGGUUCUAAAUUCUAACAAAAGGAUGUACUUAUAUCUGUUGUCUUAAAUGCGAAGAAAAUAUGUGUUUGUCAUUUGUUGUAAUAUCAUUCUAUUUUCUAAUUAUCUAAGCACAUUUAUAGGUGGUGAUGUUACAACUUCUACAAGGUCUUUCAUGUUUUCCGUUUCCUAAUUUGCUGGUAGUAAAUUGUUUUGUUAUUAUAAGCUUUUGUACCAUUUGUAAGAAUUAUUUACCAACUUAUUCAAUUAGUGCUACUCAAAGUUAUCCUUAUCUUAAAUUGUAAUAUUUGUUUAUUUUGUGAUAAAAGAAGCGACACUAUGCACAUAACAAUAGCAAUAAAACUAAUUGGACUGUAUAGUCUCAUGAUUAUGUCUUUGUCUCUUGAAAUAUGCAUAGUUCUCCACUUUGCUUUUUCUUAAUCUAUUUAUGGAUGCUCAUGCCAACCUUAAAUCUGUAUUUGGGUCUCACUACUACAGCCUUGUGGUUCACAUGGCUUUAGAAAAUGGUUGAGUGUUGUGUUCCUUUCAAUUCAUUCUCUCUCUCUAAAAUUGAUGGAGGAAUUAGAUUGUUAUGAAGUUGGGAAUUAAGGUUUCACACCAGCCUCUUGCAAAUUGUAAUUUUGAGUUAGAUUGACAUGCAAUGUUUGUUAACUAUUUAGACAAAGAAGACUUGCAAGUGUGGUUGGUACAAGACAAUCAAGGUUAUUUAGCUUGGACAUGAAGGAGCUUUUGAGGGUCAACUAAUCGAUGAUUUUUACAUUCCUAAACUCACAAAAUUAGAUAAGUCUUUAUCAUCUUAAAAAAUGUUGAAGUUGCAAUCUUCUAUAUGCAUCAACAUGCAUUUGAUGUAGAUCAUUAUCUGCACAUGUUAAUUUAUACCCGUGGAUAUAUAUAUCAUAUACUUUAUUUGACAUGUAAAACCAAACAACAAGAAUAGUGAUUAAACUUGUAGGGUACUUUAUGAAAUUUUUUAAUUAAAAAAUAAGGAGGUGGUACUUUCCAUAACUUUGUAGAAGAAUAAGUAGUUUUGUUGAUUUGUUUAUCUAGUGAGGAUUAAUAUAGUCGAAGGGUCAGGCGCUAAAAGAUACCAAAGUGCUAAAAUGCCCAUGACAUUAGGUGUGUGCUUAAGUGAAAUUAGACACUCCCAAAUAUUAAAUCUAAAAGACAUGAUAAAUUUAAUCUUUUCCAAAACACUAGGAAGUGGCUGUGAGUUGUUAUUAGUUGGCAUGGGAAGAGGGAGGAGGUAUGAUAGAGGGUUGUCGGUUGGGACGGGUGAUUGUGGGUUUAUCGAUUGGGAGGGGAAAAGGGGAAGAAGGACAAGGCAUGAGAGAGGGUUUUUCUUGAUGGUGCUCUUAGCCUCUCUCAACAUAUUGAGGAGCUUAGGGAGAGUCAUCUCAAGCUUGCUCAUGUUUAAAUUCAUAAUGAACUGAGAAAAGGAGUCUGGGAAGGUCUAAAGCAUAAGAUCUACACGCAGGUUAUUCUCUAGGACCAUUCCUAGACCCGUGAGCUUCUUUAUCCACUCAAUCAUUUUACGAACAUGGUUCUAAACCGGUAUCCUCUAAGUCAUCCUAGCGCUAAAGAGAGAAUUUUGCAUUUAUCUUUUUAUGUUGUCUCUGUAACUCAGGAGUUAUGAAGCUCAAUAUGUAAUGCGGAGCAAGAGUGGAAUCGUUUAAGUACCUAACGUAACGAGCGAUCUCAUCCUUACUUGUCCCUUCCUCGGGAGUGGGCAUCAUUGUGUCAAGGGUGUUUGUGCUUUUCUCCACAUAAGAAUGAUUCUCUAGUUGCAUAGCUAAUCCAUGUAAUUUGGAGCAGUGAGGCGGUUGACAUCAUGUAUGUCAUAUAAGGGAUUUAAAAGCGACAUGCUUUUGACCAGUAAAAAGAUGUAGCAGAAAAAUAAAUAUCUCGCAAAACACAUAACUCCCUUUGAUACGUGAAUCGGAGGCCCUCGGCAUAUCUCUAGAGGGGAUCAUGAUCCAAUCGGUGCCUUAGUGUAACCUCACAGGACUCGACCAAUCAUAGUUAGCUCGAAAUGGCAUGUAACUCUUGUCGAUCAUAACUCCUUGUGAUUCUUGUCCUAUUCUGCCUUCGAAACAUCAUAGCCUGAUUCGAUGAUAUACCCUCGAGGGUCUCCCCUUACAAAGGCAUUGUAAAAUUUUGCAAGAAAGAAAAGUUAAGCCUAGGGUUUAUUGGACCUUUUGAGGUCAUUGAGAUGAUUGGUUCUAUUUCUUACAGGCUUUGCCUUGCAACCAUCUUUAUGUCACAUCCAUGAUAUAUUUUAUGUUUUAAUGCUCAGAAGAUAUAUAUCAUAUUUCUCUCAUAUCAUCAAGUAUGAGUUGAUUGCAAUCGAAAAAGACUUGUCUUACAUAGAAGAGCUCACUCUGAUCAUUGAUAAAAAAAGAGACAAUCCUAAGAAAGAGAAGAUCCUAAGAAAUAGAGUCAUGCCUCUCGUUAAAGUAAUUUGGAAGCAUCAUUUACGAUUGAUAAGACAUGGGAACUAGAGGUAGAAAUAUUGAUGGACUCUAUCUAGUUGCAAUAUGAUCUCAUUCAACAAAUUUAAAAAGGACAACUAUGAGAUCCACAUUUAAUCUACUUGAGAAACGAUGUAGAAAAGGGUUUAAAGCUGAAUUUUCAAAUUUUAGAGGAUGACCUAUUGAGAUUUGAGAUAGAGUAUGUGUUCUAAAAGACCCAGAUAUCAAGAACCAAAUCCUAAAUGAUUGUUAUAAUUUAAUGUACACCAUGCAUCUCGGUAGCACUGAGAUGUAUAGAGAUCUUUAAAUUCAUUAUUUGUGGGAAGGGAUGAAGAAGGAGAUAGUAAUGUAUGAUUCAAAUUGUUUGACUUGUUAACAAAACAAAGCAGAACACUAGAGACUAGAGUUAUAUUGCAAGUUGCAACCGUUAGAUAUUCUUGAAUGGAAAUGGAAAUAUGUUUCCAUGGAUUUUGUUUCAGGACUACCCAGAACCUCGAGAAAGCAUGUUGUUAUUUGGGUUAUCAUUGAUCGGUUUACCAAACCUACAAAUUUCCUAUUGAUAAAUUUGACUUAUUCUCUUGAUAAGCUUGCAGAUUUAUAUAUCAAUGAAAUAGUAAGACUUCAUGGUGUUCAAAAGAGAUCAUCUCUAAUAGAGACUUCAUAAUUCUUUCAAGAUUAUGGAGAAGGUUACAAAAAUAUAUUGCACUAAAGUCAAGUUUAGCACUGCUUGUCACUCUCAAACCGAUGGUCAAUCAUAAAGAACCAUUCAAACUCUUGAAGAUUUGCUUAGAGCUUAUAUCAUGGAUUGGAAAGGUGAUUGGUAUUAAGAUAUGUCUCUUGUUGAAUUCACUUAGAAUAGUAGUUACCAUUCGAGCAUUCAAAUGGCUCCUUAUGAAGCUUUGUUUGGGUGAAGGUACAGAAUGCCUAUAUGUUAGGAGGAAGUUGGCAAUAGAAAGUUGUUUGCACCAGACAAUGUACAAGAGACUACUGAAAAGAUUCGAGUUCUAUGAAAAAGUCUAAAGAUUGCUCGAAGUCGCCAUUAGAACUAUGUUGACAAUCGAAGACGAGAUAUUAAAUUUCAAGUAGGUGAUUUUCUAUUCCUGAAGGUCUCCCCUUACAAAGGCAAUGUAAGAUUUUGGAAGAAAGAAAAGUUAAGCCUAAGGUUUAUUGGACCUUUUGAGGUCAUUGAGAGGAUCGAUUCUAUUGCUUACAGGCUUUUCCUUGUAACCAUCUUUAUUUCACAUCUAUGAUAUAUUUCAUGUUUUAUUACUCAGAAAAUAUAUAUCAGAUUCCUCUCAUAUCUUCAAGUAUGAGCCAAUUGCGAUCGAAAAAGACUUGUUUUACAUGGAGGAGCCUACUUAGGCCAUUAAUAAGAAAG